Athene cunicularia (burrowing owl) is the source of this 2235-nucleotide long non-coding RNA. NCBI's taxonomy places the organism in Eukaryota, Metazoa, Chordata, Aves, Strigiformes, Strigidae. The record is from Ensembl.
AUGCAGUGUGGAUUGCUCUGCUUUGCAUUAGAACUGAGGUAUGCUGCCUGCCUCAUACCAUGCAGUUUACUCUGGAUUCAGCUGAAUAACCAGCAGAAUUGGCUCAACCAGGUAGCUGAUCAAGGACUGAAACGCCCAGCAGCUACUGCAGUACACAAGGAAGACUCUGGGUCUGGAUUAUGAGAGCUAAUCAAUGACUGGUGUAUAACUAUGUGAGAGGCCUCAGAAAAGCUCCUUCCUGUAGACAAUCUUCAAAAGACAGAGAAUUCUGCUUCUGCACUCCUCUAGGACUUCAAUGAUAUCUUCAUAGCCUUAAAAGGUUAGUAGACAGAAGGUUAGCAGGCUCUGGAGAGGAGUGGGAGUGCCACAGCGUGGGAAAUGGCUUUUAAAUUUCCGCAUCGGAAUCAGCUCUAACAUUACGGUCAUAACUCCUGAUUUUUUCUUUCAUAACCUAGCCCUUGAGCAGCUGUAUCCAAUAAUCUGGAAUUUGCAGUGUUUACUGUACUUGAAAGAACACCAUGCCAUGAAAAAGUGUUUUGAGCAGAUCACUAAAUCAUUCUUAUGUUUGACUAUUCUGUGUUAAAAUGAUUCCUCACAAGUAAUAUCCCCAGGGUGGGGGUUGGAAGGGCAGAGCCCAGCUGGCCUCCAGCCUCCAGUCAGGGAGCAGGGGAGGCCGGGAGCAGCAUCAGCCAAGAGUUUGGGUCAUUGAGCAAGUCUGUAGUGAUGAGACAGGUCUGAGGUCAAGCCAGAAAUGCAAAUCAGCAACACAAGGUCAGGGUCGGGCCCAAUAAGGGUAACCAGGUUCUGACACAGCCCAGCAGCCUGACUUAAAUAGACCCAUGGUUGUUGGGGUUGACACUCCAGCUGAGCCUGGUCAGGGCCACUAAGGCCCAUUAGUGCCCUCAGGACCCUCUUAAGGCAGUUUUGAUCUUGAUAUGGUAACUUUGGUGGGACUCCUCCUGAACUAUAUCCUCUGAUUCUCCUCCAGUGUUAAGGGAGACCCUAAAUGCUCAGUCUGAAUACUGUAAAAUUUAUUAAGCACAUAUGGCAAAUUAGACAUUUGCCCCUUUGCGGAUCUAGGGUCUCAACUAGGACACUAGGCCAGACAGCUGCAAGUCUUUAAACCAGACCUUGGUCUUAACCAAUGUGUGACCUUGACUAUGUCAAUAUUGUGCAGUUUCCUGAAAGGCUGUUGGUACUGUUUGCCUUGGUCUUAACAUUGGUGAUGAAAAUCAGGGUAUUAUAUUCUCUUUGUGGCUGAUUCUGCAGUCAAAGGGAACCUCAUAAUGAUACAGAGUUCAUCUUACUCUGCUGUGGGGUGCUCUUGCAGGGAUUCCUGAGCUGCCUUCACAGCCACUGUGUUGUUUUGGGCCUCCCACGAGUGGGAAAUGUGCAGACCUUGAAACUGUGGAUGUUUUCAAGACCUUUCUUGGCUGUCAGUGCCUUGGCCUUUGCCUCCACCUUGGAGGACUCGGCCUCCUUAGACUGGGGCACCAUCAUCAACAAGUGGAAGUGAAAUCAGAAACAAACUAAACUGGACUCUCACAUACUCUCUCUCUGCCCUAAUCUUGGAGAUGGACAAACUCAGACCUUGCCAACAAGUGGCCUGGUGCCACUUGCCUGUCUGAGGCUCUGGUGGGAGCCCUUGUAGUAGAUGCACCUGCAUGAUGGAUCCAUGACCUGCUCACAAGCUGCACCACCAAGUGUGGGCUCCUGGAGCUGGGGAGAAGAGCGACAAGGCUGUGGGGGAGUUUAGGAAAUGUUCAACACCGUGGUGUGACAGUUAUCCUCUGAUCUGUGCCCUGACGUGGGAGGAUGCGUGUUGGGUGAUCUGGUGUGCAGGCUGUGUUCCAGAAGUCUGCUGUGUGGAUGUCGCUUAUGCCAAAUAUGUUGUCAUUAAGCAAUCACAGCCAGUUUUGUUGACUGGAGAUGGCUGCUUUAAUGUUAAGUAUCACAGAUUUUUUUUUUUAAGAAUCCAGGGUAAAUAUCUUAAUUGAAGUCCUUAGACAACAUGUACAAUUAGCACCCUGACAGCUGUAGCGAUCUGUUUAUGCUUUGAGCUCUGUUACCUGUCUAAGCAUAACUUGUCUUGAGAAACAGCUGCACAGAAAAAAAGGCAGCUAUUUCAGAAUUUUUCAAUUCUCUGAGCAGUGUUGAAUGAAAUUGUAAUUUGCUGUUGUGGUUUCUUACUGCUUAUUAAAUAAAGUCUUCCGAUAAUCAUGAUUGUGAUUGUUG